AGUCGAGCGGUAACAGGUGUAGCAAUACAUGCUGACGAGCGGCGAACGGGUGAGUAAUGCUUCGGAAUCUGCCCAAUGGUGGGGAAUAACCAGCCGAAAGGUUGGCUAAUACCGCAUAAGUCCUACGGGGGAAAGCAGGGGAUCGCAAGACCUUGCGCCGAUGGAUGAGCCGAAGUCGGAUUAGCUAGUUGGUAGGGUAACGGCCUACCAAGGCGACGAUCCGUAGCUGGUCUGAGAGGACGACCAGCCACACUGGGACUGAGACACGGCCCAGACUCCUACGGGAGGCAGCAGUGGGGAAUAUUGGACAAUGGGGGAAACCCUGAUCCAGCGACGCCGCGUGUGUGAAGAAGGCCUGCGGGUUGUAAAGCACUUUUAGUGGGGAUGAAAAGCUCAGGGCUAAUACCUCUGGGUCUUGACCUAACCCAAAGAAAAAGCACCGGCUAACUCUGUGCCAGCAGCCGCGGUAAUACAGAGGGUGCGAGCGUUAAUCGGAAUUACUGGGCGUAAAGCGUGCGUAGACGGUUAUGUAAGUCGGGUGUGAAAGCCCCGGGCUCAACCUGGGAAUUGCAUUCGAGACUGC
This 583-nucleotide ribosomal RNA is filed under the name uncultured bacterium. RNAcentral's name for it is "bacterial SSU rRNA". It matches the Rfam family "Bacterial small subunit ribosomal RNA", at positions 60 to 636 of the family's 1533-position model. The record is from RNAcentral.